UAUCCGCGCAUGCGUACUGACGACUGUCUGCGUGUUCAUUUGUGUUACCCUACACCAUGGCGGCGUUUCCUGCUGUUAUGCCGUGCCCAGCGGUCUUUGAUUAAGUUCCUUCCAUAGAAGAAUCCAUCGAGCCAGAACAGCCUGGUUACACCAACUCUCUUUGUAAUAUCAUCGUGGAGACAGAUGGAAACCAAAGAGAUGUGAACCGAAAAGCCCAUUGCAGUCACCGGAUUUUCUGAGGGACACGGCUUGUGUUUCUGUAAAUCGGAUCAUCUUUGCCCCAAUUCCGACUCAGUGACAGCGACCUUCUCCUGCGGUCCCUGGUAGCCUCUGCUAUUUCCCAUUCUGUCGAACUGGGGCCUGCCUGUUUAUGCCUGCUCCCUGCCAGCCCCACACUCACUGAGCCACAGGGGAAGUGCCAACGACAGACUGAAUGUGCUGUGGGAUCCAUGGGGUUCCAGGACACCUAUGGGCCUCGCUCUGCUCGCCUAAACUUCCCAUUUGGGUGAGGUCUGGAGCUUGGGGCACAGGCCCCAUGUCCAGGACAUCACAUCCAGGCUGGGAUUCGGUUUUUCCUGGAGCAGAUAAAGAUUUCUGAGCAUCCUGAGACCACAUCAUCGAAGGCCCACAAGCUAGAACUGAGUGGUUCACAGCAAACACAUUCUCUCCUGUUCUGAAGGUCAGAGUUCAAUAUCAAGGCUUGGGGGUUGGGGGAGCUGACUCUUCCCAAGACUCCUGGAGAGAUGGUCUUUCCGGUCUCUCCCAGGUACUCCUGGGGUUGAGA
Molecule: long non-coding RNA, 784 nt
Organism: Microtus ochrogaster (prairie vole)
Lineage: Eukaryota; Metazoa; Chordata; Mammalia; Rodentia; Cricetidae
Source: RefSeq, a predicted model, not a curated record